This 399-nucleotide unclassified non-coding RNA is filed under the name fungal sp. RNAcentral's name for it is "partial internal transcribed spacer region". The stretch from base 1 to 46 matches the Rfam family "Eukaryotic small subunit ribosomal RNA", at positions 1786 to 1831 of the family's 1831-position model. Lineage: Eukaryota; Fungi. The record is from RNAcentral.
AAGUCGUAACAAGGUUUCCGUAGGUGAACCUGCGGAAGGAUCAUUAACACGUUAUCCACGUAUCAACCAAAGCGAACUGUUUUCAAUAUCUCCCUUUAUAGAUUAACUGAGCUGAACCGACCUGCGAGUAUGAAUGGGUCCCGAAAGGGAUAAUCGCGGGUUCGUCAACUGAAUGAGCUUUUUGGUGAGUUCGACGGCUGUAUUAAUCAUAAAGACAAAAGUCUUAUCAUGAAUGUUUCCACUUCUGCAAGUCAUGAUAGGGUGACCCCCCAUAUAACUUAUUUAACCCCCUUUUUGCUAGUUGACUUUUAUAUGUUGUUCUUUGCGAAAGCAUGGAGCACACGUUUAUUUAUUUGAACGUUAAAAAUACAACUCUUAGCAAUGGAUAUCUUGGUUCUC